GACGAACGCUGGCGGCGUGCUUAACACAUGCAAGUCGAACGGAAAGGCCCUGCUUGCAGGGUACUCGAGUGGCGAACGGGUGAGUAACACGUGGGUGAUCUGCCCUGCACUUCGGGAUAAGCUUGGGAAACUGGGUCUAAUACCGGAUAGGAGCCAUCUUUAGUGUGGUGGUUGGAAAGUUUUUUCGGUGUAGGAUGAGCUCGCGGCCUAUCAGCUUGUUGGUGGGGUAAUGGCCUACCAAGGCGGCGACGGGUAGCCGGCCUGAGAGGGUGUACGGCCACAUUGGGACUGAGAUACGGCCCAGACUCCUACGGGAGGCAGCAGUGGGGAACAUUGCACAAUGGGCGCAAGCCUGAUGCAGCGACGCCGCGUGGGGGAUGAAGGCCUUCGGGUUGUAAACUCCUUUCGCUAGGGACGAAGCUUUUUUGUGACGGUACCUAGAUAAGAAGCACCGGCUAACUACGUG
Molecule: ribosomal RNA, 466 nt
Filed under: uncultured bacterium
Lineage: Bacteria
Description: partial 16S ribosomal RNA
Rfam family: Bacterial small subunit ribosomal RNA
Source: RNAcentral